AUGAGCUCAAAUAUUCUGAUCAUUGAUUUUUGAAAUAGGGAUGGAGCCACCCCGAGACCAAAUGGCAUUACAAUCCAUUGCUACUGGGCAUUUAGAAUACAGAAUGCAAUUUAUGGACUAUUUGGAAGUUCAAUAUUUAUUUGCCAGAAGCCUACUUUUAUAUCAAAUUUGGAAAAUAUAUUAGCCUCAUUGAGAUAGGUAAAUAAAGAGCUUAUUUUUGGGAGAGGGAACUUAUCAUCUUUAAGAAAAUUAUUCAAAGGCUUAUAGUUAAUGAUAGCCUUUUAUUUCCUCUUAUCUUCUCAAGUUUUUGCUCCACAUAAAAAGCUUGGCAUAUCCAAUCUGAAUUUGUAAGUUCAAUCAAGCCUUACUAGAGUAACUGUUAACAUUCUGUUUG
This 394-nucleotide unclassified non-coding RNA is filed under the name Hevea brasiliensis (rubber tree). Lineage: Eukaryota; Viridiplantae; Streptophyta; Magnoliopsida; Malpighiales; Euphorbiaceae. The record is from RNAcentral.